UCUCUAAUGAUGAGGGAAAAAAAAGGCAAAAAAGAAAGCAGCAGCGAGCAGCAAACCUGUAUUAAAAGUCAAACGAUGAACCAUAUUACGAGGAAAAGUAAUGUUAUCUGAUACACUCUGGUGGCCAGUCUUUCUAGAAGAAGAACUCACAGGUGCAUCAUGGUAUUGGAAGAUGCUCAACUUCCAGGCAAGCAAAUCUCCAUCCUGCAAUGUGCAGAGAAGCUGCUGAAAUGCUGGGUCAGAGAGACCGGGGAACCACUAAG
Molecule: long non-coding RNA, 263 nt
Organism: Vidua chalybeata
Lineage: Eukaryota; Metazoa; Chordata; Aves; Passeriformes; Viduidae
Exons: 3
Source: RefSeq, a predicted model, not a curated record